This 408-nucleotide ribosomal RNA is filed under the name uncultured bacterium. RNAcentral's name for it is "partial 16S ribosomal RNA". It matches the Rfam family "Bacterial small subunit ribosomal RNA", at positions 28 to 526 of the family's 1533-position model. The record is from RNAcentral.
GACGAACGCUGGCGGCGUGCUUAACACAUGCAAGUCGAACGAAGUGGCGAACGGGUGAGUAACGCGUAAUCCACCUGCCCUUCAGAGGGGGACAACAGUUGGAAACGACUGCUAAUACCGCAUACCGAAGGCGGGGAGUGCGUCUGAUUGGCUAGUUUGAGGGGUACGGGCCCACACAGGCGAUGAUAAGUAGCCGGUCUGAGAGGAUGAACGGCCACAUUGGGACUGAGACACGGCCCAGACUCCUACGGGAGGCAGCAGUGGGGAAUCUUCCGCAAUGGACGAAAGUCUGACGGAGCAACGCCGCGUGAGUGAUGACGGCCUUCGGGUUGUAAAGCUCUGUUAAUCGGGACGCGGUACCGGAAUAGAAAGCCACGGCUAACUACGUGCCAGCAGCCGCGGUAAUUC